GACGAACGCUGGCGGCGUGCUUAACACAUGCAAGUCGAACGGUAAGGCUCCGCCUUGCUGGGGUGCACGAGUGGCGAACGGGUGAGUAACACGUGGGUGACCUGCCCUGCACUUCGGGAUAACCCUAGGAAACUGGGUCUAAUACCGGAUAGGACCGCCCCGUGAGGGGGGGGGGGAGAGUAGUUUCGGUGGGGGAUGGGCCCGCGGCCUAUCAGCUUGUUGGUGGGGUAGUGGCCUACCAAGGCGGCGUCGGGUAGCCGGCCUGAGAGGGUGGACGGCCACAUUGGGACUGAGAUACGGCCCAGACUCCUACGGGAGGCAGCAGUGGGGAAUAUUGCACAAUGGGCGGAAGCCUGAUGCAGCGACGCCGCGUGGGGGAUGACGGCCUUCGGGUUGUAAACUCCUUUCGCCAGCGACGAAGGGUGUCUGACGGUAGAGGGAGAAGAAGCACCGGCUAACUACGUG
RNAcentral lists this ribosomal RNA (465 nucleotides) under uncultured bacterium. RNAcentral's name for it is "partial 16S ribosomal RNA". It matches the Rfam family "Bacterial small subunit ribosomal RNA", at positions 28 to 507 of the family's 1533-position model. The record is from RNAcentral.